Bombus huntii is the source of this 647-nucleotide long non-coding RNA. RefSeq lists it as uncharacterized. The transcript has 2 exons. NCBI's taxonomy places the organism in Eukaryota, Metazoa, Arthropoda, Insecta, Hymenoptera, Apidae. The record is from RefSeq and is a predicted model, not a curated record.
AUUAGUUAUUUCAACAACACGUUACUGUUGGCAUUAAACCAACGCCAUACCAAAGAGACACGCGAGCGACCAUGUUGAAAAAUUCGUCGCGCGCACAUACAAAUAACAACUAAUGCAAUAUAAUACAGCAUCAUAAUAGCAAUGUUAGAACUGAUGGCGAACUCAUCAACCAUUCUCUGAACGACGGACGGAAGAACAUGAAUAGCAAUCCGCACAGUGGAACUGUAAAGUAUUGGUACGCCACUCACGAAACAAAGUACUGAUGCUAUCCGCCUGUAAACAAACAACAUUUAUAACUAUGCAUAUAAUUUUCACUUAUGUUCACCAAUAUAUAUAUACACGCAUGUUGUAAAGUAGGCGAUAUUUAUAACAUUCACUUCCAUUGAUAAUGCAAGUGACUCAUAAAAAUAAGCCGUCAUAUUUACCAUUGCACGCACAUAUAUAUAUAUACUCGAAGACAAGGUACAUUUGUAAUAUUUAUUCCUAUUGAUAACAUAUACUUAUAUAUGUAUAACAAUAAAACAAAUCUCAUCUAUACUACUUACCAGUACGUAUGCAUAUAUGUAUAUAAUUAUAACUCAAGUAGCAUUCAUGAUAUUUAUUUUUACUGAUAACAUGCACGUAAAAACUAAAAUAAAACAGGGUUU